Molecule: long non-coding RNA, 9104 nt
Filed under: Nicotiana benthamiana
Lineage: Eukaryota; Viridiplantae; Streptophyta; Magnoliopsida; Solanales; Solanaceae
Description: long non-coding RNA (NBEN_LNC007931)
Source: RNAcentral
UGGGUUAAAAAUCUCUAACUCCUUCGUUGCCUCCCUCACUCAUCUGCCACUCCCUUUCUCUUUCUCUUUGCUCCCUCACGCCAAUGACGCCACUGAUCUCAUUUGUUUGCCUCAACCACUAUUCUUCUCUCUGUUGCCUCGCCGGUCGCCGGAGUUUCUACCGUCAUGGCUUCCCAGGUAAGUCCCUUUCUCGUUCUAACCCCUUUUCAAAAUUUUAUUAGUGUUUUACUAAUGAAUAUUAUUUUUUAAUUUAGGUUAAUGACUUUUGUUUGUUGUUUCUUAAAUCUUGAAUUUGUAGAAUUUAGAAAUGUAGUCUGUAGAUUAUUGAGUUUUCUAGCUCAUUUGCUUUGAUAAACUUAUGAAAAAUAAUUGUUGAUUUUCCUUUUUUAGAAUUGAGAUACUUUGGCUCGAUCAUGGAGGCUAAAAGCUUCUUUAUAGAUAUUUGUUGUUCUUUUUGCAUCCGAGAUGUUAUUGAUAAAGACUCUUCAAGUUUUAGCAUGAUUGGUUUGUUCAUGAAUAAUAAAUAUUCAUAUUUUUCAUUAUUUAUAAAAAAUAAUAAUAUUAUCAACAACGAUAUUGAUUAUUAAAUAGCUAAUCUAUCUGAAGAAACGAAUCCAUGCUAUUAAACUUCUUUUACAUAUGUCAGUUAUAAAUUAGGAUUCACUAAGCAAGAUACUUUGGGACUAUAUACAUUUUUUGCGUUUAAUAUUUAUAAUGCGGGUUUAUUCAAUUACUUUUUGAGCGCCAAUGAUUUAGUGACAGAGUCAGAAUAUGAAAGGAUUGCAAAAAUUUUAAAAAUUAAAUAUACAAUGAAGCCAGCCAAAAACAAAAAAGAAAGGUAAACAGAUUUCAUUAAUAGAAAGAGAAGUCUCAGCACAAAUAUAGUGUUAAGAUAAACAGAUUAUAGUAACAAGGCUUUCAAAAGAGACAAUAAACAAGACUUAUGUUAGUUACAAAGACUUAAUGAUUACAACAAAAAACAACUAUGUACAUUAUUAUUACAACUGCAUUCGACGGGGUCUCAUAAAUGUUUUAAUAAUAACAUCAUUAGAAACAAUAUCAAACAAAAAAUCGCUAAAAAUUUCAUCAUUCAUUCUACUUCGUAAGUCAUUCUUGAUAAAAUUUAUGGUCCGAAAAGCUCUUUCAACGAUUGUAGUAGCAACAGGCAGAAGCAAAGCAAAUUUCACUAAGCGAAAUAUAAGAGGAUAAUAAAAAUUUCAUAACAUCACGAACAUCAAUGAUAUAACUUGCAAGCUGAUUUUCAAGAGUACCUAUACUAAAUUCAUCAAAGUCAUUAGAAUAUAACUCAACCAUUCUCAUUAUUUUCCUUAUGUUAAAACUUAAGAAUGAGUUAAUUGGAUUCACACAAGCAAUCCCAUGAAGCAAAUAAGUUGUCAUUUCGUCAAAAUGUUCAUUACGUUUUAUGAAUUUGUCAAUCAAUAUUUUACAAAAUACUUCAACUCGAUAAUGACACGAGACUGUACAAUCAGAAGAUUUACAGCGUGAUUUUAAAGAACUUACAUAUGGCUAAUUAAAGUAAGGUAUCAAAAUAUCAUAUUUGACAUAAAAUGAAGAUGUCUUAGCAAUAAUAAAUUCUCAUUCCGUUUCUCUUAACUUUUGCAACCUUUACUUUGCUACUUUAACAAGUAGCAUGCUGUUUGCAAUAUCUUGCUCUUUUUUGUGUAAGUAUUUAUUGAGCUUAUUUCUGAUUGCUAAAAUAUCUCUCAUCAAAUGUAACAUAAAUAUAACCUCAAAUAUUUGACAAGCCCUGAGAUAUCCCAUUGCUAUUACUGAAUCAAAGGACUUACAGGAGCUGAUCGUAGAAGAGCUGAUCGGAUUUUUGAAGACCUGUGAGUUGAAAAAAAUGAUAAACAGUGAAAGAAGAGAACCAAAAAAGAAAAAGAACCUGGUACUUAAAGCUGAUUACAAUGAUUCAAGUGAGGAUGACAAUGACAUGGAUUACCUAACCAAAAGAUUUCAGAAGAUGGUCAGAAGAAAUGGAGAAAUGCUAAAAAAAGAUAGUUCUAACAGACCAAGAAACUGUGAUCUUUGUUACAAGUGUGGAAAGCUUGGUCACUUCAUGAAAGACUGUCCUCUCUUGAAGCAAUAAUUCUCUAAGAACCAUCAUGAGAAAAAACCUAAGACGAACCUGGUUCUUGUUAGAAAGGUUUGAUUUAUUGAUUAAUCGAUUUUUUUCCUUUCAGUUUUUGAAGAUAGAAAGGUUUACAUCAGAAAGUAAGACAAUAAGGUAAAACAUUCAGGUCACACCCUGAGAUAAUUCGUAUGUAGAAAGGAUAGCAAGACUGGCUACUAAGACUCCCGUCCGAUGAGGAACUUUCAUGUUUGGCGAUAUUUGGCUUUUCUUCUAUUUCGGCAAUGGCUGCAAUGGCCUUCAGUGCCAAAUCAAAUUCCUCAGCUUCACAAAUCAUCUCGACUAUUGGCCCGAUGUUAUGGGCAGGCAACAGAUUGUUCAUCACAUCAUGAGCUUCUUCAUCCCGAAAAAUAAUUCUUUUAGCUUCAAUCAAAUCUUCAAUUACCCUUUUGAGGGUCCAACAGUCCUCUGUAUUAUGUCCGACUGCUCCAAAGUGGUAUUCACAUAUAGAAUAAGCUCGGUGCAUAUGAGACUUGGGGUUCGACCGAUUCGAGGUCACUUGUUGCAAUAGAUCUAGCCUGAUUAGCUUUUGGAACAAGCUUGAAUACGAUUCACAAAAUAGGGGUGAACUGAUUCUUUCUGAAAGGUUCUCUUGGGCGAGAAUUGUAUUGGGGAUCAUUUGGUUGAGGAUUAUAUGGAGCUUGGUAAGGAUAAACAUUUUUGGGUGGUGGAGCUUGGUUUUGUGUAUAGUAUUGUGGUUGAGUGUAAGAUUGUGCGCUCAUCACCGUAUAGGGAGGCAGUGCCACAACAUAUGCAGCAUCUAUGAGAGGAUAAUAAUAUUGACGGACCACAGGGAGGCUCAUAUGACUGCCUGAAUGACCCGCGGGGCCCCCUCGAGAUUGAAACCAUCAUGGCCUGAAUGACCCGCGGGGCCCCCUCGAGAUUGAAACCAUCAUGGCUUCCUCCUCACUCCCAUUUCUGUUCAUCAAACUCUCCGAACCAUUUUGAAUAUCUGGUGAUGUGGCUUUAAAAGCAGCAUGACUCAGGAUUCAGCUCGUUUUUAAAUCGUUUUCAACCAUUUCCCAAUUUUGAUAGCCUCAGCGAACGGCUUCCUACAAUUUGACAUUAUAUUCUGAAAGUAGUCAGCCUCUUGCGCCUGCAGAAAAAUCGUGUCCAUUUCAAUUUCGUCCAUUGGAGGCUUUACCCUGGCAGCUUGCUCACGCCAUUUGACGGCAUAUUCAGGAAAGCUUUCCACGGUUUUCUUUUUCAAAUUGGACAAAGAGUUUCUGUCGAGAGCGAUGUCCACAUUAUAUUGGAAUUAGCGGACAAAAUCUCGGGCCAUAUCGUCCCACACGUGCCAAUGGAUAAUUUCUUGAUCUAUAUACCACUCAAAAUUGAUUCCAGUAAGCGAUUCCAGUAAGGCUCCUCUUUUCCAGCACCCAGUCAUUCUCUAACCAAAUAAAGUGCUCACACCAUUUCAAGUGAUGUGAUCAAGAUGUACCUACAAUGAGUUUAUACAAAACAUCACUUGAAAGUUUCAGUUUCUCAUUCAAGCUCCUUGCCAAAAUAGAGAAAUCAAUCCUCACAAGCUUGAAGAACAAAGUUGAACGCAACUACAGACCAAUUCCUAAAAGGCAACUUGUUGUUGUCCUAGUUGAGUUGUAAUUUUGUGAUUAUACUUAUUGUAUUUCCUAAUGUGCUUAGCUAGAAGAGUUUGAUUAGGAAUCCUCUUGUAAAUCCAUAACUCCUUGAGUUUAUGUUGUGACUAGAUUUAGUCAUAAGCAAAAGUCUUUUAAUUUUAGAUUUACAAUGUGGCUUGUGGUGAGAGAAUCACAAGUUAGUAAAAGCCUUUGUAACUAGAAAGUCACAAAGUUGCUUGUGGUAAGAGUACCACAAGUUAGUUGAGAAAAUCCGUUGUAAUGGAGUUAUUGCAAAGUGGCUUGAAUAGGUCCUUUACAAGUUAGUGAUGUUAAAGCGUUUGAUUAGGAAUCCUCUUGUAAGUCCGUAAACUCGUUGAGUUUAUGUUGUGACUAGAUUUAGUCAUAAGCAAAAGUCUUUUUAAUGAAGAGUUACAAAGUGGCUUGUGGUGAGAGCACCACAAGUUAGUAAAAGCCUUUGUAACUGGGAAGUCACAAAGUGGCUUGUGGUAACAAGUUAGUUGAGUAAAUCCUUUGUAAUGGAGUCAUUGCAAAGUGUCUUGUAAUAUGUUCUUUACAAGUUAGUGAAAUUAAAAACCUAUAGGUGUAGGUCUUGAUUUUUGUAAUAUGUUCUUUACAAGUUAGUGAAAUUAAAAACCUAUAGGUGUAGGUCUUGAUUUUUUGAUUCCCUUGUGUGAGAUUUUUUCAUGUAAAAAUCCUCUUCCUUAUUUACAUACUGUUCUAUUAGCAUUCUCAGCAGAAUCUUGUAGAGGACCAGGUACUUUAUAGUUUGGUGGACUCACACAAAUUAACAUUAAGCAAGAUUCAUACUUUUUAAAAAUAAUAAAAAUAAAUAAUUAAGUGUUGGCUUGCCUAACAACGAUGUUGGGUGCCAUCAUGGCCUAUAGUGAAUUUUGGGUCGCGACACUUUCCAAUAGUGCCUUAACUGUAGUAUAGCAAUUCCAAUAAUGUCAAACCUCAAUGACGUAAAAUAGUUCAAGACUUAGUUGAGAACCAAAUCUUAUAAAACUAUUUUAAUAGCUUGAACUAGAAAUUAGCACCAAACCAAAGCAAUAGAGGCACUGACGAUAGACAACACCUAAACCCGACAAGUUGAAUGCCGGAAUAUAACUUAUAUAUAACGUUUAUAUAUAUAAGGUACAACAUCAUACAACUUAUCUAUAACGUUUAUAUAAAUUUUAUACAAAUAUGUUUUAUGUAUGCAUUUGCAUAUGAUUUGCAUAUAUUUUUUGAAUGUGGUGUAUUCUUCUUCUUCUCUGAAAUGCCAAUCAAAACUUUUCCUCUUAAUAUAAUUUUGAUACAUAUCAACAACUUUAUGUAAAAAGAAAGUAUUUAUAGCUUAAAUACAAAUUUCAUACAAUGAUUCAUAUAUUAUACAACUAUUUUCAACUUCAUACAAUAAUCAAAUAUAAAAAAGUAACUACAACAUAAUACAAUUUGAAUCACUAUACUCAUCCUCGAACAACGGAUGAUUUGUAUUUUUGAGGACUCUACAUCCAUAGGAUCAUCAAUUUGAUGGUUUUCUUGAAGUGAUGGCUUCUUCUAGGCAUGGAGAAGGAUGGAGAGGGUUUGGUUUUGGCCAUCAGUAUGAGAGAACAGAUAGAGAGAAUGUCUUCUUUUGAGAGAAAUGGAGAUAUGAUCGAGAGAGGAGAGGUUAAAAAGGGGUGAAUGGAUGCCUUGAUUCUUGGAAAGAUGUGCGGAAGACAACUUUUAGUUGCCUUCUGCAAGCCCGUUGUUAGUCCAGUCAUAAAAUGCAUGUACAUGGUAAUCAAGUAGUUAGAGAUUUUUAGGGCGUAAAUUACGAAGAACAAUUAUGGAAAAUUUUCUAAACUAGAUAAAUUUAGAGAAAUUAAAUGGGAAUCAAACAAAUACCGAUUUUGUCAUGUAGGAAACCGAAUCUUUCUUUAAGAAGUACUUUUCUAAAAUAUUUGCUAACUGAUUUUCAGUAUUGACAAAUUCUAAACGAGAGUUCAAUAGGUUAGGCUCGUGCUCGGUUACAGCAAGAACAAUGUCCUAGACUUCAGCCUAUUUUAGCCUUAGCUUCAUCGAAUCUAACCCUAAGCGGGACAAUUUCUUGGCUAAGGUUCACCACCUCUAGGUCGCUUUGCUGCAAGCGAGCCUCUAAAACAACUGCAUCAAUGGCUUCCGUUUCUAAUUUCGAGAGGCGGAGAACAGUUUGAUCCCAUUCUACCAAAAGUUGAUCCCGCGCAAAGGUGAGUUUCUCCUUCUCACGGAUCAAUCUCUGAAGGCCUUCGGAAGCAAGAAAGUAGAAGAAAUUACAAAAGAAGAAAGGAAUGCACCGAUGUAGCAUUAUGUAUGGCAUUGUUUAUAGAACACUCUCAGAGAGUGCUUGGACCUUUUCUCAAUCUUUAUCUGAAGCCAGAAGCUUCAGAUAGUUAUCAAGCUCCACUAGCCGAGAAAUCAGGUUGUACCUGCCAGAGAUCGAAAGAGUAACAUUUCUGCUCCCAUAUGGAUCAUCAAAAGGGGCAGCAUAACUUUCCCCCAAAUUCCCAUGAACUGGGGACUAGGGAAAGAGGAACACCUUCUUCAUGAUCAUGUGCGGCUGGCGGAGAUGAUGUAGCAAUUGCUGCCGGAAGAGUUGAUGAAGAUGGAAAUGGUGUAGCAAUUGCUGGUGGAAGAGUUGAUAAAGAUGGAGAUAAAGCUGAUGGAUUCAAAGAACAAGAAACAAUGAUAUCAAAUACAACACUGAUAGAUGGAUGCUCCCCAACCAAGGACGGAAUGGAUUCGGUACUCGGGCCCAGAGUACCAGGUAUAGAAGCAUGGACCCGGUAGUGAGAGUUUGCAUUUUCUACCAAAUCAGACUCCCCUAGAGCGUCGAGGCGUCAUCCUUGAUUGGAGCAGUUAACUCAGUAGAUGGAGCAUUCUGUUAAGCUGAUGAUGAACAUUUUCUUUUGUGUGGUGAAGCCCCAUCAUUACUGGCUUCUCCAUUAUCGUCGACCACGAUGGUGUCUAUGAACGGCCUGGGAGAAAAGUUAGUGAUCACGACUUCUGGAGACUUCUCGAGGGCAAUAGUCUUCGUCCUUUUAUUCUUUUCCUCGACCGAGGAAUGCCACUUUCUUUUUGGUUGCUUGUUCUCCGGCUGGGGACUCCGUAAUGAAAUGCAUGUGCACGAAGUAGGCCCAGAGAUACCUAUUCGAGUAAGUGCUUCCUGAAGCAGCCUUGCUGCAUCAGCAGGGUCAACCAAGACGUCUUCCUCGGGGACAGUAAUAGAGCCUGCUGGUAGACCUAAUUCCAGGAACAAGUCAGAAGUGUUCAACCAAGUUCUUCACAUUAAAAUAAAAGCAAGGUAAGUUCAAAUUACCAUAAUUUUUGGCCUUCCAUCCAUAUUUAAGGGACAAACCUUCCAUAAACGUGUUUCUGGCAUCAUGACAUCCAAGAUCUUUUAGACCCACCAGUCCAAGUUUUCCACCACCAAUAGGACCCAUCGAGUUGCUGAAACACAUGACGAGAUGAAGAGUUAAUAUAGUCACAAAGGAAUAUUUAGCAAAAGAAAUAUACUGAAUGAAGGUCUUACGAGUAUGAUUCCAAGUGUCUGGAAAGGGUGAUGCCAUUGACGGAAUAAUAUUAUUAGUGGCAAUUAUGACGAAUCUCUCCGUCCACCCACAAUCGCUGUCAUCAUCCAUGCAGGUCAAUAGAGCAUGGUGUCCAUGCUUGCAGAGGUUUAUCAAUCCCCUACAAAAAAAUCUUAGGAGAAUAGAGGUUCAUCAUAUGAGCUAAGGUUAGCUCUUCUCCAGUCUCCUGGCAUAGACGCCGAAGACAUGCAAUUGUCCUCCACACUGAAGGGCUUACCUGUGCCAACCAUACUUGGUAGCGAAGGCAAAACUCCGUAAUCACGGAAUAUAUCUCUCCGCAUAAAGGGAUACGUGUAAAAAUAUGUAAAACCUUCCCUAGGAAGGGUCACUCGCUCUGAUAGAUCAUGAGCAAUGAUGUCCAACUCGUGGAAAUGGAGGUCUUUCUUCGCAGUAGGAACACUGGACGAGCGAAUUGAAGAAGGAUACAUACAGAUAGCCCAUCAACGAGGGUUAGUAGUAGGGAAUUUCUCUUCAAAAUCUUUUGUGGUGUAAGACUUCGGGGGAUGAUGGACCUAUCGUUGGAGGAGCAGAUCCUUAGUCUUGUUAUUUUUCUUUGAAGAGCCAGCGUGGUUGGAAGAAAAAGCCAUUGAAUAAGAGGAAGGAAAAGGGUUUUGGUUCGAAGAAAAUUGGGGAAAGGAUGGAAAACAAAGAUACAAGUUAAAAGUUUGAGAAAUUAUGAAGUACAUAGGAGAAAGGUGAUGCGUAUAAGUAAAAUUUUGGCGGCUAAAUUCACGGCCAUGAUUACCUCGAUACUCGGCAAAGGUUGUGCCGAAUUGUGGGAUGACACGUGUUCGGAACAUUAAAUGCAGAGAGAUGUGCGUCUAAUUAACUGUCAGAGGCCUGUAAAGAGAAUUAUAAUAAUUUCUGCCAAAAAGAGUAUUUCUACCAAUUUCCCUGGUAACACAAGAUUGUGUCACCGGAAAGCAAAGUGACUAUCUGUAUAAGGAAAAAUAUGAUAUGACACGUGGUCAUCUAAAGGAAGAUCACGUGGAACUCAAGACGGAGAUGGUCAUCGAACGCAGCUAUUCCGCUUGUCACAGGGAGAGAAUGUUCAUAAAGGUGUAUUGAAUGUUUUGCUUCCGGUAGCAUUUAAUAGAGAAUAUUCUGCAGUAUUAAGAACGGCAACCCGUUACAAGGAAUUUGACAUUUAUUUCCACUUUUACACCUUCAUCAAUGAACAUCAUAAUUGACAUUAAAGGAUAGGAUGAUCCUACGACCUCCUUCCCAAGACAUAGCUAUAAAUAGAGAGCUCAGUUAUAUCAUUGUAAAGGGACUAAUUUUCUGGCAAACUUAUACAAUAUUCUGUACAAAGCUUUAUGUCAUUUACUUUCUUGCUUUUUGAUCUUAUCAUUGCUGUGACCGGAAGUCUUGCUUCCAGAAUCGUUAUUUCCGCUAUUUUAUCUAUAUUUUGAGGCUAAGUAUCGUAUUAUUCUUUAAUUUUUUUAUUAUUUCUGGAUCAAAUUAGUUCACUUAUCUAGAAAUUACGUACAAAUUUAACUGUAUCAUUUUACGAUUAAACAAAAACAACGUCCUUAUUAUUCUUGACGAUAUUUUUGAUGCUUUCUAUCUUAGUGAAGUGGGCAUACCACAACCUGGAGAUCAUGCUGGAAUAUGCAAGGUUAUUUCAACUUCAAGAGAUAUGAACGUUUGCACAUAUUUGAGCAAAGAUGUCUAAGUUGUUAAGUUCGAUACCUUGAGUGAGGAAGAAACUGUUGGUAAAUAAUAUACUUGGCCGUUUUGGAUCAUAUUGAACCAAUUGCA